AACGCACCUUGCGCUCCUUGGUAUUCCGAGGAGCAUGCCUGUUUGAGUGUCAUUGAAUUCUCAACCAUGUCUUGAUUGAUUUCGAGGCAUGGCUUGGACUUGGGGGUUGCUGGCGGCGAAAGCGGUCGGCUCUCCUGAAAUGCAUUAGCAAAGGACAGCAAGUCUGACGUGCACGGCCUUGACGUGAUAAUGAUCGCCGUCGCUGGAGCGUAGGACAAGCAUGAAUGAGUCCGUUUGCUUCCAAUCCUUGACUUGGAUGCUUUAGCUACUAGUUGGUCGCGAGGCCGACGAACGCAGGGUUUCCCUCGUCUUCCUUUGACAACUUGACCUCAAAUCAGGUAGGACUACCCGCUGAACUUAA
RNAcentral lists this unclassified non-coding RNA (361 nucleotides) under Candelaria sp. RNAcentral's name for it is "partial contains 5.8S ribosomal RNA, internal transcribed spacer 2, and large subunit ribosomal RNA". The stretch from base 1 to 52 matches the Rfam family "5.8S ribosomal RNA", at positions 103 to 154 of the family's 154-position model. Lineage: Eukaryota; Fungi; Ascomycota; Candelariomycetes; Candelariales; Candelariaceae. The record is from RNAcentral.